AGGCAAUCCGCUCGGGUUCCCUUCCAUGCUGUGGAAGUUCUGUUCUUUCGCUCUUCACGAGAAACCUUGCUACUUCUCACUCUUUGGGUCCAUGUCAUCUUUAAGGGCUGUAACACUCACUGCAAAGGUCCCACGGCUUCAUUCUUGAAGUCAGCGAGACCACGAACCCACCAGAAGGAACAAACUCUGGACACACUACUAGCCCAUCUCAAUCCAGUUAUUUCAAGCAAAGUGGCCAGCAUGGUUGUGAACAUAUUUGGACCAGGAGGCAUCUUUUCAAGAGUCAAGAGAAACAAGGAAUGGUGGAGGCUCAGUCCUUGUUUUCGAGUCAUGUGACCACAGUCAAGAAAAAGAACAGUGCCAUCACCACAAGGAUAUGCAAUCCUCUGUGUUGCUCCUUUAUACCAAACCCGCUUCCGUCUUCAUCUGCUCCAUCCCAAGGUCUGAACCCAUGGCAACCAACCAGUAAUCUGUUCUCCAUUCCUAUAGUGUUACUUCAAGAAUGUUAUGUAAAUUAAAC
Molecule: long non-coding RNA, 520 nt
Filed under: Homo sapiens (human)
Lineage: Eukaryota; Metazoa; Chordata; Mammalia; Primates; Hominidae
Description: HSALNT0307305
Source: RNAcentral